GUGAGUAUUAGUAUUUAUACGUGAGUGAACGCAUCUGUUAAUUAGUGUUAUGUACGUGAGUGAAUUAGUAGUAAAUGUAUUUUAGUGUAUAAUAAUUACCUCCAUGCUGAUUUUACUGUGUUUAGGGUAUAUGGUAUAGUUUUAGGGUUUGGGAUUGAAUGAAGGAAUACUGAUAUACCUUGGAUUUGACCCGUUUUCAUCCAUGGUAUAUAGGUUUUUACUAUAUAUAUAUCUAUGUUUUCUAAUCUUCUAGGUAUGUUUUCAGGUUCAGGUGCAUUUCGGAGUAAAGCUACGACUUUGGAGCAUUUUGGAGCUUAAAGGACAUUUCAUCCGAGCUGACCAUGUAGAGGUCGACGAGAGGCAGACCAAUCGAUCGAUGCACAUCCAGUGCUCUCGAUCAACACCAUGAGA
RNAcentral lists this long non-coding RNA (411 nucleotides) under Brassica napus (rape). Its description in RNAcentral is "long non-coding RNA (BNAP_LNC007625)". Lineage: Eukaryota; Viridiplantae; Streptophyta; Magnoliopsida; Brassicales; Brassicaceae. The record is from RNAcentral.